GGAGGUGGAAGUUGUGAAUCUCCAACACUGAUUUCCAGUAUUUGGGUCUCCUCUGCUCCUGAUCACAUGGGAAAAUUACACUUUCCCGUGUUGUUUCACCAAAACAUCAUCCAUCACUGAAUCUCAGAGAGUGGAAGAAGAGAUCAAAUGAAGAGAGGGCAUGGCAUAGAUUUGAUCUUCCAACAGAGAACAGAAGAAAGGUUUCCUAGUAUGGCAGUACAUUCUGGCAUGGAACUGAGUACCAUGGAAAGAUUCAAGCUGAGCUUUGGAAAUGAAGAAAGAAUUGAGAAAACUUGGAAAGGUUUGGGAAGGACAUGGCCAAAACGAGCAACAGCUUGGGGGAGAAAAAAGACAACUUUUCCUGCUGGAGGAAAAAUGGAAGAAAUUAUUCACUAGAUGGCACGUUCCAACGAGGCCAGGGACUGCAUCUUCCAUCCUCCCUCAGUGGCCUCCUCCCCUCUCUUUCUGCUCCCCAGCUGGGAACACAGUGUAUUCUGCUCGGUCCGUUGCUCAUUUUAGUCUGAAAAGGAAAAA
Long non-coding RNA from Symphalangus syndactylus (siamang), 534 nucleotides. RefSeq lists it as uncharacterized. Lineage: Eukaryota; Metazoa; Chordata; Mammalia; Primates; Hylobatidae. The record is from RefSeq and is a predicted model, not a curated record.